Molecule: non-coding RNA, 30 nt
Filed under: Mus musculus (house mouse)
Lineage: Eukaryota; Metazoa; Chordata; Mammalia; Rodentia; Muridae
Source: RNAcentral
UACAACACACACAGGGGAACGCCACGGUCU